AUUUAAAUAGUUUAAUAAAAAUAUUGAUUUGUGGAAUCAAAGAUAUACUAAGUAUUUUAAAUU
This 63-nucleotide transfer RNA is filed under the name Longitarsus aeneus. RNAcentral describes it as "tRNA-His". Lineage: Eukaryota; Metazoa; Arthropoda; Insecta; Coleoptera; Chrysomelidae. The record is from RNAcentral.